GAAAUAUAAUAUGAACCACAAAUGCCAGUCACAUGCAUGAUUUUAUAACAGCCAUAUUUUUAAAAGCUAAAAGAAACAGGUGAAAUUAACUUUAAUGGUAUAUUUUAUUAAACCAAUAAAUCCAAAUUAGUAUCAUUUCAACAAGCAAUCUAUAAAAAUUGUUAAUGAGCUAUGUGCCAAUCUAUUUUUUUCUUACAAUUCUUUAAACUUUGGUAUGUAUUUUAUCCUUGCAACAUGUUUCAACAUGGAUUAGCCACAUUUUAAGUGCUCAUUAGCUAUGCAUAGCUAGUGGCUGCUGUAUUGUAUUGUGCAGAGAGAGAAAAGGAGGAAGUAAUAUUGUAUACAAGGUUGUAACAUGUGAAAUAAGACUCCGUACGCUUAUUUUUUUAUUUUAUUUUUUUUUGGUUCUUAGGGCCGCAACCACGUUAUAUGGAGGUUCCCAGGCCAGGGGUCUAAUCAGAGUGAGCUACAGCUGCCAGCUACACCACAGCUACAGCAACACCAGAUCUGAGCCGCAUCUGUGACCAACACCACAGCUCAGGGCAACGCUGGAUCCCUAACCUGCUAAGCGAGGCCAGGGAUUGAAUCCGCAACCUCAUGGUUCCUAGUGGGUUUCGUUUCCACUGCACCACGACAGGAACUCCAGGCUCCCUACACUUUUAAUCCGUAAUCCUCCAUCUUCAUCUUCAAAGACAAACACAGCAUUUUAAUGUAUUUUUCAAAGUUAUUCUAUACUCAGAUAUAUUUUUCCUCAUUUUCAAAAGCACAAAUAAAGGCACACUAUACACACUUCUGUAUUCAGUGGGUUUAUUUUUUUCCACUAUAACCUGGAGGCUCUUCCUCAGUAAUAUAAGUGUUGUGUGUAUGUGUGUGUGUGUGUGUGUGUAUGUGUGUGCAAGUAUGCAUGUACCUGUGUGUAUGUUCAGUUAAAUUCAACAAAUACUUAUUGACAACCUACUAUGUGGCACACACUUUGCUAGGCACUUGGGUUCCAUCAGUGAACAAAACUGAUAAACACCUCUUCUUUUGGAUGUUACAUUUUAUUUAUUUAUUUUUAAUUUUUUUUAUUAAUUUUUUAUUACUCAAAUGAAUUUAUCACAUCUGUAGUUGUAUAAUUUUAGAAGAGAGAGAAAGACAAUAAACACCUAAGUAAGUAAACUAUAUAGCAUGUUAGAAGGUAAUAAGUACUAUGGAAAAAAAAGAAAAAUCCUGAGGGGCAGGAAUUUCCAUUUCAAAUGGGGUGCCUGGGGGAGCCCUCAUUUAAUAAGGGGAGGUUUGCUCUAUGUCUUGAAGGAGGUGAGGGGGUCAUCCAUAGAUACAUCUAGGGGAGCAUGUUCCAAGCAGGGGAAGCACAAUGCAAAGGAAAAAUGGAGGGCUCCUGGCAUGUUUUAAUUUUUUUUUUAAUUGAAGUAGAGUUGAUUUACAAUAUUGUGUUAAUUUCAGAUGUACAGCAAAGAUUAUUAGAGAAUAUUGAGUAGAGUUCCCUGUGCUGUACAGUAGGUCCUUGUCCGCUGUCUAUUUUAUACAUAGUAGUGUGUAUAUGUUAACCCUAAACUCCCAGUUUGUCCUUCUGCUCCUUUCCCUUUUGGUAACCGUAAGUUUGUUUUCUAUGUCUCUGGUCUAUUUCUGUUUUGUAAAUAAGUUCAUUUGUGUAGGUUUCCAUUACAUUCCACGUAUAAGCGAUAUCAUAUGGUGUUUGUCUUUUUCUGUCUGGCUUCUUCACCAAGUGUGAUCAUCUCUCUGUCCAUCCAUGUUGCAGCACAUGGCAGUAUUUCAUGCUUUUUUAUGGCUGGAUAAUAUUCCAUUGCAUCUAUGUACCAUGUUGUCUGUAUCCGUUCCUCUGUUAAUGGACAUUUCGGUUGCUUCCGCAUCUUGGCUAUUGUAAAUAAUGCUGCUGUGAACUUUGGGGUGCAUGUAUCGCUUUGUGAGGAUCCAUGAGAAGGCCAGUGUACUAGAGUGAAGUGAUUGGAAAGGGCAGUGGGUCUUGCUUCUUGGAGGGGCUCCUGUAACCCCUGGAACUCUUGCUCUGAGAGGAAGGAGACCUGCAACAUUCUCAUGGGCAUCCAUAAAGCAUUCUCAUGUGUGGAGGUACCAUAUACCUGUCUCCUAUUGAGAGGGGUCACUUGGCUUGUUUCUCACCUGUUUGCUAGUCUAAACAAUGACAUAGUAUAUGUCCUUGAAUCUUCAUGGGUUUGUGCGUGCGUGUCAACUUUCACGUAGAACAAAUUCCUAGUAAUGAAAUAACGCAUUGAGGAGAUGCUUAUUUUUAAUUUUCCUAGAUAUUGCCAAAUUGCUCUCGAAAGAAGUUGUACAAAUUUAUACUCCCAUCCACAAUGUAGGAGAGUGCUUGUUUUCCUGUUACCACUGUAGCAGUAAAUCAACAAUUUUAAUUUUGCCAAUUCUGUGAGAAAAAGUGUUCUCUUACUGGCAUAAUUCUGGGGUGAUUCUUCCUCCACUCUCAAUCAUAUACUAAUGUGGACUCUAUCCUGCUCCUCUUCCUUUUUUCAGGGCCCCAACUGCUUUGCAGUUUACAUCUGUUAUGGCACGUAUUGCUUUGUAUAUUAAUUGCUGAUGUCCUCGUGUCCCAAUUUGUUAUAAGCGUCCCAAGAGCCAGGCUACCCUCUUAAUUUUUAUGCCUUCCCCCCAUGCCUCAAACUUUGCUUAAUGCACAAGUUAGUAUGUCUUUGUUGACUAAUGAAUAAAUGACUUGAUUCUCUUUGCAUUAUGCUGUAUCAUCUUAUACUUGUGUUAUUAAUGAUAAUUAAAAUGACAGCAGUAACUAUCACUGAGACACUUGGAUUUAUUGGAUGACAUGUUUCUGACUGCUAGCUCAGAAAAUUAUGUAUUCCAUCUGCAGUAUCCAGGAUGGGAAGAGUCAAUAUGUUGCCUUAUUUCUAAUCCCCAAAGGAAGCGUUUCUUUAAAGAUGCAAAAACCUGAGUGGGGCUGAAUUGGCUACCCGUGGAGAUGAUAGUAUAUACAGUUCAAUCAGGUUUUGUUCACUUUGCCUGCUUCUCACUGGUUUGUUGUCUGGAAAUGGAGCAGCAAUUCUGGUUUGUAGCCUUGGGCAUCUGGCUUCUUAGGUCAUGAGGCCAGUGGCUAAACCAUCACUUAGUUUUGAGAAUCUUGGAAAUGUGAUUUGAAAUGGAUUUGGGCAGAAGAGUGUGUGCAGGCGCUAAGGAAGAUGAGCCACAUUUGCUGGGCUGGGUUCCCCGGUUCACUUGGGUCCCUGGAGAGAAUAAUCGAUGUUCCAUUUUGGAAAUGUUAAUAUCGACUCUGUUUCCUCCAUGCACAUAAGCCUAUGAAGGGUUCUGAGAAGCCUGGCGGUAAAGAAAACUCUUUCUCCCAGUGUUUCUCAAAUCAAUUUCACCACAGGAAAAAUUUUUUUUUUCUGAUAUCACAGGGUAUCAGUUUUCCAUAGACUAGAGU
Molecule: long non-coding RNA, 3427 nt
Filed under: Sus scrofa (pig)
Lineage: Eukaryota; Metazoa; Chordata; Mammalia; Artiodactyla; Suidae
Description: lncRNA (ENSSSCG00000053883.1)
Source: RNAcentral